This 87-nucleotide transfer RNA is filed under the name Gemmatimonas phototrophica. It matches the Rfam family "tRNA". Rfam says of the family: Transfer RNA (tRNA) molecules are approximately 80 nucleotides in length. Lineage: Bacteria; Pseudomonadati; Gemmatimonadota; Gemmatimonadia; Gemmatimonadales; Gemmatimonadaceae. The record is from Rfam by way of RNAcentral.
GGAUGGGUGGCCGAGUGGUUUAAGGCGCACGCCUGGAAAGCGUGUGGGGGUGAAAGCCUCUCGCGAGUUCGAAUCUCGCCUCAUCCG